CCGCUCUUCAACAAUUUUGGGAAACGAAAUAUUAAUUAGCGAUUGUAGUGAUGACUCGGCAAAAUUUGCCCUGAUCACUCGGCAAAAUUUACUUACAUCUCCCCCCAUUGAAAGAGGUCUAGCGACGCCUCUGAAUAUAGGAAGUUGAUUCCACAGGAUAGGCACUAGUACAGAGAAUGCCCUAUCACCAUACGUCUUUAACCUGAAGCGAGGCUCCACAAUUAGGACUUCCUGAUCACUAUAGAUCUAAGAUUUCUCGAAUAUGUGCGGAGCUUUAAUAGUAAUUCGGUGAUAUAGCAGGAUGCUAUGCCAUGAAGGCCUUUAUAGACAAAAAGCAGUAUCUUAACACUACCUGUAUUUCGAUAAUUUACAGUAGCCAAUAAAGCUUAAACAUAACUGGAGUAAUAUAAUGGUCAUCUUGCAUAUAGUUAAUGCAACUAGAUAUACGCGCGGCAGUAUUUUGUACAGAUUGCAGGCUAUAAUCGUUGAUCUAUAGCAGCCUGUACACAGAUAUGGGAGAGUGAUAAAUAUUAUAGUAAUUUUAAUUACACCUCAGACUGGUCAAUAUAACCUCAACACUUCUAGAUCUUCAAUUAAAUUUUCCCAGUUUAUUACCCUUUAAUUGGCAAAUAGCCAAAUACUGAAAAAUCGUGAUAAAAAAUAUUUUUCAUAUAAU
Paramuricea clavata is the source of this 676-nucleotide non-coding RNA. The record is from the annotation of a GenBank genome assembly. NCBI's taxonomy places the organism in Eukaryota, Metazoa, Cnidaria, Anthozoa, Malacalcyonacea, Plexauridae.